UACGUAGGGGGCCAGCGUUGCUCGGAAUAACUGGGCGUAAAGGGUCCGUAGGCGGUGUGGCAAGUCGGGAGUGAAAUCUCUGGGCUUAACCCAGGGGCUGCUUCCGAAACUGCCGUGCUAGAGUGCGAGAGAGGUGAGUGGAAUUGCAGGUGUAGCGGUGAAAUGCGUAGAUAUCUGCAGGAACACCCGUGGCGAAGGCGGCUCACUGGAUCGCAACUGACGCUGAGAGACGAAAGCUAGGGGAGCAAACAGG
Molecule: ribosomal RNA, 253 nt
Filed under: uncultured prokaryote
Description: partial 16S ribosomal RNA
Rfam family: Bacterial small subunit ribosomal RNA
Source: RNAcentral